Oryzias latipes (Japanese medaka) is the source of this 3179-nucleotide non-coding RNA. The record is from RefSeq and is a predicted model, not a curated record. NCBI's taxonomy places the organism in Eukaryota, Metazoa, Chordata, Actinopteri, Beloniformes, Adrianichthyidae.
CCUAAAGCUGAGGUUAUCAACUUCCUUAGCCUCAAACUUACCCUGGGAGCUAGCAGAACCUGCUUUCUGGAAUACCCCCCCUGACCCUCCAAAGACUCAUAACCCCUGGUGAAGCAGCAAAAGCUGUCCAACACUAAAGGCCUUCAGCCCUCAUCUGUUGGACAGAACAUGCAAAAGUCCACAACCUGCAGAACCAAAGAGCCUUUAGAACCUUAGCUGGUAUUAAAGUUUGGCUGAAUCCUGGGUUGGCAGGAACAACAAUCACCAGCUGGCUCCUGAUUGGUCCACGAGCAGCAGGUGAGAGGCAGGUGAAAGACGACACCUUCAUCCGUUAUUCAGCAGCCUGACUGGAGCUGAACAGCAUUGGGGCUGGGUUCUGAUGAAUUCUGGUCUCUUCUCUUCUUUCUUCAUCACAGCCGGUUCUACUGGUCAGAACCGGCUGUGAUCCAAACUGCUUCAGUGUUUGAUCUGCUGUGGUUCCAGUAGCAUCUGCAGGUCAGAGGCAUAAAGUUCUGGUCUGGUUCUGUUGGAUUCAUGGAAGGAGUCAACGUGCGUGGCGUGCACGUGUACCAAACCGCCGUGAAGCUGCUGUCCCUGCAGAGAUGCUGCUACCUGGACAGAGUGCUAGUUCGCCACGUCCAGGCUGCGCUUGAUGCUGUGGGCGGAGCUACACAGCAGCAGGAUGCCCUGAUGGACAGGGAGGAAGUGAUGCGCUUUCUGAGCCUCAUGUUUGAGCAGGUGUCACAGGAGAUUCCUGAGGAAGCUCCAGAGGAGACCUGUGCUGUGGUGUUCAGGCUGUUUGACGGGCUUGGGACGGGUCGAGUGUCCGUUCGGUCUCUACAGACCGCUCUAAUCGCUCUGUCUUCUGACUUCCUGCUGGCCAAGUACCAAGGCUUGGUGAGCAUCUCAGCAGGUGGUUCCGGGUCCAUCAGCCCGUCUGGACUAAGGUCUCUGCUGCAGGACCUGAACCAGGUUCCUGUGGCGGUUAAGAAAGGUGAAGUGUCUGGGCGUGUGGAGGCGGCGGUGGAGGCGGCGGUGGAGGCGGCAGUGGAGGCGUGUUUCAACGGGGUGCUGGCGCCGACGGCUAGUGCAGAGCAUGUGCUGGCAUGGCUGCAGGGCGACCCCGCCCUGUUGCCAUGGUUACCCGCUUUGUUCCGGCUGACGGCCAGUCAGAAGGUUCGUCACCCUGUCCGCUGCCACAGCUGUAAGACCGCUCCCAUCACUGGGCUCAGGUACCGAUGCAUGAGGUGUGUCAACGUUCACGUGUGCCAGAGCUGCUUCCUGACGGAGCGGCACAGAGGGAAGCACAAAGCCCACCACCCGGUGCUGGAGUUCUGCUCUCAGCCCACCUGGAGGGAGUCUCUGUUCUCGUUGGUGCACAGCGCUCGCCAUGCCUUGUUGCCCAGGCAACGCACUCAAAGAGUAGUGCACAGAAGCGUUCAGAUGUGGGAGGAGCCAGAAGAAAAGAAGAACAGUUCUCCACCUUCAGACGCUGCGCUGCCAACGGCCUCAGCCCUCAGCCCCCCUGAGGAUCCUCCUCCACCAUCAUCUUCAUCAAAGGCUUUACAGACAGAGGUGGAGUCUCCGUGUGAGCAGCCGCCCGUCCUGCUGACUGAAGUCAGGAACCUGCAGAGAGACAAGUGGCUGCUGGAGCAGCAGAUGAGGGCGUGGCAGCUCACGGUCCAAUCAGAGCACAGCCUGUUGGAGGACAGGUGCGCCGACAUGGAAGGGACCUUAGAAAGACUCCGGCAUCACAACAGCCACCUGCAGGACAUGCUGACGCAGGCUUUGGACAGGAUGGACUCCCACAAAGACAAUAAUGACACACGUCUGAGUUUAGAAGAAGAGAGUGAAACAUCUGCAGAAGACAGACAGGAAACGCCUGAGGAGGAGGAGGAGGAGGACGACGACCAGCAGUGCUCAAGGGAAACGACUCAGUCUCCCACAAAUCUCCUGGCUCUGUCACAUGAUGCAGACUGGGAGGAGGAGGAGAAGGUGGAGGAGGAGGAAGAGGUGGAGGAGAAGAAGAAGGAAGAGGAGGAGGAGCAGGAAGAGGAGGAGGCGACUGCUGACAUUAGUCUUCUAUCAAUAAAGGAGGAUGAGGAAGGUGAAGGGGCAGGGCCAAACAGUUUGUCGUCCAUGGAAGAGGAGCAUUCUGGGACAUGUAGUCUAGAUGAGCUGCUGCUGCAGGCGGUGGAGCGACUGAAGGCGACAAUAGAGGCAGACAGGUGGACAGAGAGACAGACAGAGGGCGCCGCCCCCGUCUGCUGUCGGUCACUGAUCACCUGAUCCUCUGGUCAGUCGUGCAGCCUUGGAUCUUCUCAUGGCGGUAAACACCUGAGCCUGCAGAAAUCCUCAUCCGUCCAUAAAUCUGCCUUAGUCGACCCGGUGUGGACGCCUGUGGACGCCACAGACUGCAUCCUGUGACCCGUCAGUCUGAAUGUGGUCCCACAGUGAUGACAUCAUCACUCCUGCUGAACUCUGCUGAAUGAUCUAGAACGUGCAGACGGAACUCUGCUGGUUCUCCUUGGAGCUCAGACCUGCUCAUAACCCGUCCCAAACACCUGGAGAACGUCUGACUUGUCUACAGCGCGUCAGAACACUUCCAUCGUUUCAGAGAACUAGGCCAUGACGGAACCAUGGAGAACAUCUGACGGAGCGGUGGAGAACCUGAACCUGGGCCGGGCUGACACAGGAAAGUUUGCCUUUGUUCUCCUGAACUUCUGGUCCGGGUUCCGCUGUUGCAGUAAAGCGGAGCUCCCUGACAGAUCGGUUGAUCUCAGCAUCAGAACCACCAAGAUCUCAGAACGUUCAUCCAGGGUUCAGAGAACCUCCUAUGAAACAGCUGGAUGGACCUCAGGACAGACCAACGUUCUCUGCUGGAACCAGAAGCGGGUGGUUCUCUCAACACCUGGGCUAACUGGACUGACGUUUGACGGCCACCUUCUGAGUCCUGUUGUGACGUCACUACAGAUGUGGCUCGCUCGCAGACAGGUAAGAUCUUGCGCGCCAAAUGGGUUGAACUCCGCUCACAGGCCCCACCCUCACCUGGACUACGUUCUAGGCGCGUGAACCUUAAUACACAAACCCACACGGCGCUUGGAUCACGCAUUAGUCACAUGGUUAGCUUGUAUUUAACCGCUAGCCUUUGAUCGCUGGUUCCGACUGAACACACCUGU